This 866-nucleotide ribosomal RNA is filed under the name Curtobacterium flaccumfaciens. RNAcentral's name for it is "partial 16S ribosomal RNA". Lineage: Bacteria; Bacillati; Actinomycetota; Actinomycetes; Micrococcales; Microbacteriaceae. The record is from RNAcentral.
UGGGUCCUCCCCGGCGGGGCGCUUACUGCGUUAGCUCGACCAGAAACCGUGGAAAGGUCCCUACCUCUAGCGCCCAACGUUUACGGCAUGGACUACCAGGGUAUCUAAUCCUGUUCGCUCCCCAUGCUUUCGCUCCUCAGCGUCAGUUACGGCCCAGAGAUCUGCCUUCGCCAUCGGUGUUCCUCCUGAUAUCUGCGCAUUCCACCGCUACACCAGGAAUUCCAAUCUCCCCUACCGCACUCUAGUCUGCCCGUACCCACUGCAAGCCCGAGGUUGAGCCUCGGGAUUUCACAGCAGACGCGACAAACCGCCUACGAGCUCUUUACGCCCAAUAAUUCCGGACAACGCUUGCACCCUACGUAUUACCGCGGCUGCUGGCACGUAGUUAGCCGGUGCUUUUUCUGCAGGUACCGUCACUUUCACUUCUUCCCUACUAAAAGAGGUUUACAACCCGAAGGCCGUCAUCCCUCACGCGGCGUUGCUGCAUCAGGCUUUCGCCCAUUGUGCAAUAUUCCCCACUGCUGCCUCCCGUAGGAGUCUGGGCCGUGUCUCAGUCCCAGUGUGGCCGGUCACCCUCUCAGGCCGGCUACCCGUCGUCGCCUUGGUGAGCCAUUACCUCACCAACAAGCUGAUAGGCCGCGAGUCCAUCCCCAACCAAAAAAUCUUUCCACCACCAGACCAUGCGGCCGGUAGUCAUAUCCAGUAUUAGACGUCGUUUCCAACGCUUAUCCCAGAGUCAGGGGCAGGUUACUCACGUGUUACUCACCCGUUCGCACUAAUCCACCCAGCAAGCUGGGCAUCAUCGUUCGACUUGCAUGUGUUAAGCACGCCGCCAGCGUUCGUCCUGAGCCAGGAUCCAACUCAAG